Molecule: non-coding RNA, 128 nt
Filed under: Pteridomonas danica
Lineage: Eukaryota; Dictyochophyceae; Pedinellales
Source: RNAcentral
AGAUUGAAGAAAUUGAUUAAACAGUUGUCAAUUAGCUUGCAGUCUAUAUUCUCUUGAAUCCCUUUUUUUUUUUGAUUUCUUAUAGAUUUUAAUACUCUAACUACGUAAUAUAUAGAAGGGAAGGUAGG